AGGACACUGUGGUUAGGACAAAACGGCAACCAACAGAUUGGGAAAAGAUCUUUACCAAUCCUAUAACAGAUAGAGGCCUUAUAUCCAAAAUAUACAAAGAACUCAAGAAGUUAGACCGCAGGGAAACAAAUAACCCUAUUAAAAAAUGGGGUUCAGAGCUAAACAAAGAAUUCACAGCUGAGGAAUACCGAAUGGCUGAGAAACACCUAAAGAAAUGUUCAACAUCUUUAGUCAUAAGGGAAAUGCAAAUCAAAACAACCCUGAGAUUUCACCUCACACCUGUGAGAAUGGCUAAGAUCAAAAACUCAGGUGAC
This 314-nucleotide long non-coding RNA is filed under the name Rattus norvegicus (Norway rat). RNAcentral describes it as "long non-coding RNA NONRATT022334". The record is from RNAcentral. Lineage: Eukaryota; Metazoa; Chordata; Mammalia; Rodentia; Muridae.